This is a long non-coding RNA of Lytechinus variegatus (green sea urchin), 163 nucleotides long. RefSeq lists it as uncharacterized. Lineage: Eukaryota; Metazoa; Echinodermata; Echinoidea; Temnopleuroida; Toxopneustidae. The transcript is spliced from 3 exons. The record is from RefSeq and is a predicted model, not a curated record.
UGCUGGAGGUGGUAAGUCGCAACCCAUGGAGUAAGUGCAGGAAACCCUUCUACUGCAGCUUCGAACACUGACAAUGCACAUGUAUCUACUGAGAGACUAGUGACUGAUGGUGAGAUCACCAGGCUAGCAAGACACCUCCCUCACGGAAGUUACAGUCAGCUGU